This 532-nucleotide ribosomal RNA is filed under the name uncultured bacterium. Its description in RNAcentral is "bacterial SSU rRNA". It matches the Rfam family "Bacterial small subunit ribosomal RNA", at positions 777 to 1304 of the family's 1533-position model. The record is from RNAcentral.
AAUAGAUACCCGGGUAGUCCACGCCGUAAACGAUGAGUGCUAAGUGUUAGAGGGUUUCCGCCCUUUAGUGCUGCAGCUAACGCAUUAAGCACUCCGCCUGGGGAGUACGGUCGCAAGACUGAAACUACAAAGGAAUUGACGGGGGCCCGCACAAGCGGUGGAGCAUGUGGUUUAAUUCGAAGCAACGCGAAGAACCUUACCAGGUCUUGACAUCCCACUGACCGGUAUAGAGAUAUACCUUUCCCUUCGGGGACAGUGGUGACAGGUGGUGCAUGGUUGUCGUCAGCUCGUAUCGUGAGAUGUUGGGUUAAGUCCCGCAACGAGCGCAACCCUUGAUCUUAGUUGCCAGCAUUUAGUUGGGCACUCUAAGGUGACUGCCGGUGACAAACCGGAGGAAGGUGGGGAUGGACGUCGAAAUCAUCAUGCCCCUUAUGACCUGGGCUACACACGUGCUACAAUGGAUGGUACAAAGGGCUGCAAGACUGCGAAGUCAAGCCAAUCCCAUAAAACCAUUCNCAGUUCGGAUUGCAGG